GGAGGAGUGACAGAGUGGUCGAAUGUGGCGGUCUCGAAAACCGUUAUCUCCGUAAGGGGAUCGAGGGUUCGAAUCCUUCCUCCUCCGCCA
This 90-nucleotide transfer RNA is filed under the name Candidatus Omnitrophota bacterium. RNAcentral describes it as "Candidatus Omnitrophica bacterium tRNA-Ser". It matches the Rfam family "tRNA". From Rfam's summary of the family: Transfer RNA (tRNA) molecules are approximately 80 nucleotides in length. Their secondary structure includes four short double-helical elements and three loops (D, anti-codon, and T loops). Further hydrogen bonds mediate the characteristic L-shaped molecular structure. tRNAs have two regions of fundamental functional importance: the anti-codon, which is responsible for specific mRNA codon recognition, and the 3' end, to which the tRNAs corresponding amino acid is attached (by aminoacyl-tRNA synthetases). tRNAs cope with the degeneracy of the genetic code in two manners: having more than one tRNA (with a specific anti-codon) for a particular amino acid; and 'wobble' base-pairing, i.e. permitting non-standard base-pairing at the 3rd anti-codon position. Lineage: Bacteria; Pseudomonadati; Candidatus Omnitrophota. The record is from RNAcentral.